AUAAAGGGUGGUUUCCAGGCCACUCCCAGCUCACCCCCCACCCCCACCAGCCGGGAGCAAACCUUCCGGCAAAGUCACAGGGGGCUUGCUUGCACGCCCUCAGCAGGUGCAGGAAUAGUUGGAGUCCACAGCAGCUAUUGCACACCCAGCCCCCUUCUUCCUGCCUGGAACACGGAUGUGUUGUCGGGAGUUCCGGCAGCCACAUUAGACCAGAAGGCAAAGGGGAAUGGAGCUGUGAGCUCGCCCUCUGCGGGCUGCGCGGUGCCUUAUGAAAUCAGAGCACAGAGGACCGGCGCGGAGAUGCGCAGAGGCCUCCCGUCCGUGACGGACUGGGCCUGCAUCCGGCUCUGCCACUUCCCAGCCGUGCAAGCCGAACCUGUGACUUCAGUUCUUGGUUUUCUCAUCUGUGAAGAGACAAUAAUGCCCACGCCGACCUCAUCAGGGUUCUUGUCCACUUUUUCAACAAAUAGUUACCGGGCACCUGCUGUACUACACUCUGGGCCCUGUGCUAUUUCUGAGGAAACAGCCGGGAGGAAAUAAAACCAACGAGCUGUCCCCCCCUCCCCACCCCGGCCCAAGGCAGCACAGUCUGGGGAGGGGGCAGGCAUCCGCCACAUUGCCAAAUGCACAAAUAUCAAAGUGUGAUUGUGACAAAGGCCACACACAAAGACCUGUGAUAGAAGUUUGACCUUGUCACAUGCAAAGGUCCUGUGGUUGAAAUGAUUCAACAUGAUAAACAAUGCCAGUACACACUGAAUGAGAGCGUUACUAGUAUUUCCUUGAACCGAUGCCAGGAAACAUUUGAAUCAGCUGAGAAACUUCUCCCUCUCUCUCUCUCUCUCUCUCAUUUUUUAAUUUUUUUUUACAUUUAUUUAUUUUUGAGAGACAGAGCCCAAGUAGGGGAGGGGCAGAGAGAGAGGGAGACACAGAAUCCGGAGCAGGCUCCAGGCUCCCAGCUGUCAGCACCGGAGCCCGACACAGGGCUCGAAUUCACGAACCGUGGGAUCGUGACCUGAGCCGAAGUCCCACGCUCAACCGACUGAGCCCCCCAGGCGCCCUGAGAAACGUCUCUUGUCACGACUCGGCACGCCACAACUCUGGCUUUGUCUUCUAGCGCGGGGUCUGCCUGUGAAGAGAAAUGGGCUGGUCACUCAUUCUUGUUUUUGUUUUUGGUUUUUCAAUACUCGAGUUCGUCAACAUACAGCGUGGCCCUGGUUUCAGGAGUAGAACCCAGGGAUUCAUCCCUUCCGUACGACGCCCAGCGCUCAUCCCGACCCGUGCCCUCCUGAAUGCCCAUCCCCCAUCCGGCCCCUCCCCCACCCGCCUCCCCUCCGGCACCCCUCAGUUUGUUCUCUGUAUUUAGGGGCCUCUCGUGGUUUUUCUCCGCCUCUGUUUUUAUCUUCUGUGUCCUUCCCUUCCCCUAAGUUCAUCUGUUGAUUCACUCCUUCUCCUUGAUAGGUGUUUCUUAUUCUAAACAAACGUGGCUGGCAUUCCCGUCUGAUAGAAGCUUCUGGUUAAGAUGCGACAGGCCCGAGCUCUGCAGGCUGGUGCCAGGAGGUUUCCCCCGCAGCCCCCCCAGGCACUGGCACCCCUGCCUUACCCUGAGCUCGCCCGGCACGCCUGUGUGGAGGGGGGGAAGCCAGCCAGACUUUUGCAAGGGGACACUUUUUUUUUUUUUCCUCUCGUUGCAGUUAUUAUGAGGAUCAGAAAUGGGGGCUUGGGAUGUUUCCUUCGAAGCUUUUCCCAGAUUCCAGAGAGUUUUAGGCAAACCCAGGGCUCCAGGAAGCCACUGGGCACCUGCACUUUUCCAGACAUCAGCUGAAGGGGCGCAAACAUCCUGAAACCUAAUGUAAACUUGGCAUUCGGAGUCUCCACGUGAAACGGGAGGCCGGCUGGCCCCAGAGGCAAACAGAGACUGCAUUUACAUGUCGCCCCCACGACCUCAUUUCUAAAUUCAAACAAGGAUUCUGGAAGCGCUCAUCAACCCCCUGACGAAGCAUCAAGGCGUCCCCUCGAAACGUUGUCACCAGCUGUGAGCCCAGCGCCAUGGGUCCGGGGGGAGGGGGGCGGUUGGGGACAACACCAGACACCGGUCCAUCUGUCCACAGCCCCGACCUUGGCCCGUCCUGGGGUCAACCCGGUGUUUACCCGGCCUACCUCGGGCAAGAUGCUCGGGGCAGCGGGGCCAGGGCGUGCGGGCAGGAGAACCACCUCCUUCCCUACCAAGGCCCAAGUUUCAGAAGGUGUCUCUGAGGCUCCCCACACUUUACUCCUGGGGUCCUGAGGCCCCGCAAGGGGAAGGACGUGGCCAAGGUCACAAAGCAAGUCAGAGCGCAGCCAAGAAGAGGAGAAAAAGCCCUCGCCCUCUCUCUACAUCCACGGGCCAACCGGGGUCAGCCUGGGCUCACCUUUCAGGACCUGGCUCCGGUCCUACUUCUUCAGGGGCUCUUCCAGACUCUUCGAGCAGCGGUUAGGGCCCCGGGUUCCAGUCUCCAACUCCCUCCCAUCACAUCACGGACCUCUGGAGACUUACCCAUCCCCCACGACACAAACCCCACUCUGGCAAGGCACUGCGAGGAAGCCAGCGGGGCUGGCCGCCGUGAGCACAGGGCCCGGCAGCAGGAGGUUUGAAUUUCCUGUCCUUUCGGCGGAUCACGGCGCCCGCCUCACCCCCAGCCCCCGUGGCCCGGCACCCUCAGGAGGCCGUCCUGGAAGGAGGCCAGGAGGGGGGGGAGCAAGGCUCUCCUGCACGGAGCCCUGACCCAGGACAGAGCUCCGGGAAAGGAAGGUAACUGGUUGUUUCUGUCCCGAGGAGAACAUGCCGUGACCGUGAAUCUUCAUUCGGCUGUCCCCAAAGUGACAAACAUCCCCCAGCGUCCAUACUGCUGCCUCCCCGGCAAUUUCUCUGUUUACAGGAUGUCUGGGGUGUCUAGACAGGCUGGGGUGGGGUGGGGGGAGUCAGAGAGUGGAGUCCCAAGGCAGUUCUCAGACGGCACAUGGCUAUUUCUGCACAGAACAGCUAAAACCAAAAGACUGAAAUCUGCCUCUGCCUGAAGAGUUCAUUAAAUAGAAAUAUGCUUAAUUCUUUCCUUUUUUAUCAGUUGACGGCUUCCAACAGAUAAAGCUUAUUUUAUUUAAGCUUUCACACACCCGGCGAGAUAAAUAUCCCUGAAUUCCUGUCUUCACAGGGGGGAAAAAAAAAUUAAAAACGGAUGGAGUCAGAAUCUUGAGUAGGGUUCUGGAAGCUGGACCAAAGGGUGGACCCACACGAUUGGGUCGGAGUUAGAUCAACCCCAGGACGUGGUGGUGUGGAGGGAGGGGCUGGUCCCUGCAAAGGGCAUGAGGGAAACUGCUGGCAAGGAUUGUUCUAGAAAGGACACCCACCGACUUCUGGUCCAGAGGGACCCUCAAAGUCAGAUUUGGAGGAGAAGACCUCGUCCGUACACGCAGACGGCUGUGGGUUCAGUCCCGGCCUGGCCACCCUCCAGCUGCAGAAAUGUGAACAUGUCACUUCGCUUCC
Long non-coding RNA from Acinonyx jubatus (cheetah), 3520 nucleotides. RefSeq lists it as uncharacterized. The record is from RefSeq and is a predicted model, not a curated record. NCBI's taxonomy places the organism in Eukaryota, Metazoa, Chordata, Mammalia, Carnivora, Felidae. The transcript is spliced from 3 exons.